UGUUAGCGGCGGACGGGUGAGUAACACGUGGAUAACCUACCUAUAAGACUGGGAUAACUUCGGGAAACCGGAGCUAAUACCGGAUAAUAUUUUGAACCGCAUGGUUCAAUAGUGAAAGACGGUUUCGGCUGUCACUUAUAGAUGGACCCGCGCCGUAUUAGCUAGUUGGUAAGGUAACGGCUUACCAAGGCGACGAUACGUAGCCGACCUGAGAGGGUGAUCGGCCACACUGGAACUGAGACACGGUCCAG
Molecule: ribosomal RNA, 251 nt
Filed under: uncultured Staphylococcus sp.
Lineage: Bacteria; Bacillati; Bacillota; Bacilli; Caryophanales; Staphylococcaceae
Description: partial 16S ribosomal RNA
Rfam family: Bacterial small subunit ribosomal RNA
Source: RNAcentral